This 497-nucleotide ribosomal RNA is filed under the name uncultured bacterium. RNAcentral's name for it is "partial 16S ribosomal RNA". It matches the Rfam family "Bacterial small subunit ribosomal RNA", at positions 28 to 507 of the family's 1533-position model. The record is from RNAcentral.
GACGAACGCUGGCGGCGUGCCUAAUACAUGCAAGUUGAGCGAUGAAGAUUGGUGCUUGCACCAAUUUGAAGAGCAGCGAACGGGUGAGUAACGCGUGGGGAAUCUGCCUUUGAGCGGGGGACAACAUUUGGAAACGAAUGCUAAUACCGCAUAAUAACUUUAAACAUAAGUUUUAAGUUUGAAAGAUGCAAUUGCAUCACUCAAAGAUGAUCCCGCGUUGUAUUAGCUAGUUGGUGAGGUAAAGGCUCACCAAGGCGAUGAUACAUAGCCGACCUGAGAGGGUGGUCGGCCACAUUGGGACUGUGACACGGCCCAAACUCCUACGGGAGGCAGCAGUAGGGAAUCUUCGGCAAUGGACGAAAGUCUGACCGAGCAACGCCGCGUGAGUGAAGAAGGUUUUCGGAUCGUAAAACUCUGUUGGUAGAGAAGAACGUUGGUGAGAGUGGAAAGCUCAUCAAGUGACGGUAACUACCCAGAAAGGGACGGCUAACUACGUG